AGAGUUUGAUCAUGGCUCAGAGCGAACAUUGGCGGCGCGUUUAACACAUGCAAGUCGAGCGGGAAAGCUACCUUCGGGUAGUGAGUAUAGCGGCGAACGGGUGAGUAACGCGUGAGUGACCUGCCCUUAAGCGGGGGAUAGCCACGGGAAACUGUGGGUAAUACCGCAUGAGGUAUCUAAUGUUAGAGGUUAGAUAUCAAAGGUUGGACUUAUGUCCGAUCGCUGAAGGAUGGGCUCGCGUUCAAAUAGUUAGUUGGUGAGGUAAAGGCUUACCAAGACGAUGAUUGAUAGGGGAUGUGAGAGCAUGGUCCCCCACAUUGGGAUUGAGAUACGGCCC
Molecule: ribosomal RNA, 337 nt
Filed under: uncultured bacterium
Lineage: Bacteria
Description: bacterial SSU rRNA
Rfam family: Bacterial small subunit ribosomal RNA
Source: RNAcentral